Molecule: ribosomal RNA, 488 nt
Filed under: uncultured bacterium
Lineage: Bacteria
Description: partial 16S ribosomal RNA
Rfam family: Bacterial small subunit ribosomal RNA
Source: RNAcentral
GACGAACGCUGGCGGCGUGCUUAACACAUGCAAGUCGAACGAAAAUACCAAGCUUGCUUGGUUGAUUAGUGGCGAACGGGUGAGUAACACGUGAGUAACCUGCCCCUUACUUUCCUGGAUAACUGCUCGAAAGGGUAGCUAAUACGGGAUAUCCUGACCAGCCUGCAUGGGUUGGUUUGGAAAGGUUGUUUUUCUGGUAAGGGAUGGGCUCGCGGCCUAUCAGCUUGUUGGUGGGGUGAUGGCCUACCAAGGCUUUGACGGGUGGCCGGCCUGAGAGGGUGGACGGUCACACUGGGACUGCGAUACAGCCCAGACUCCUACGGGAGGCAGCAGUGGGGAAUAUUGCACAAUGGGCGCAAGCCUGAUGCAGCGACGCCGCGUGAGGGAUGAAGGCCUUCGGGUUGUAAACCUCUUUCGUCAGGGAACAAGGCACUGCUUUUUUGGUGGUGUUGAGGGUACCUGGAUAAGAAGCGCCGGCUAACUACGUG